RNAcentral lists this long non-coding RNA (216 nucleotides) under Populus tremula. Its description in RNAcentral is "long non-coding RNA (PTRE_LNC002715)". The record is from RNAcentral. Lineage: Eukaryota; Viridiplantae; Streptophyta; Magnoliopsida; Malpighiales; Salicaceae.
ACAAGGUCAUUUCCCUUAUCUACAGAAAUCGAAACGACAAGUCCUGAGAGCGCAACGUAAACAGAUAAAAACCAAGCUAGCUCAACCCUCGAACACGAGUAAAGUAUAAAUUACUCCCUCUAGUUUUAUAAAAUGAAUUAAAUGGUCAUUGUAGUUUUAAUAAUUAAUUGGUUCUUCAUGUUUGCUUUAAUAUUAUUUCAAAAAUGUUUUCUUUUC